GCAAGUCGAACGAUGAACCGCUUUCGGGCGGGGAUUAGUGGCGAACGGGUGAGUAACACGUGGGCAAUCUGCCCUGCACUCUGGGACAAGCCCUGGAAACGGGGUCUAAUACCGGAUAUGACCGUCUGCCGCAUGGUGGAUGGUGUAAAGCUCCGGCGGUGCAGGAUGAGCCCGCGGCCUAUCAGCUUGUUGGUGAGGUAGUGGCUCACCAAGGCGACGACGGGUAGCCGGCCUGAGAGGGCGACC
Molecule: ribosomal RNA, 246 nt
Filed under: uncultured bacterium
Lineage: Bacteria
Description: partial 16S ribosomal RNA
Rfam family: Bacterial small subunit ribosomal RNA
Source: RNAcentral